UAGCCGUAAACGAUACUCGCUAGGUGUCGGCCACGGUGCGACCGUUGUCGGUGCCGUAGGGAAGCCGUGAAGCGAGCCACCUGGGAAGUACGGCCGCAAGGCUGAAACUUAAAGGAAUUGGCGGGGGAGCACCACAACGGGUGGAGCUUGCGGUUUAAUUGGAUUCAACGCCGGAAAUCUCACCGGGAGCGACAGCAGUGUGAUAGCCAGAUUAAAGGUCUUGCUAGACGAGCUGAGAGGAGGUGCAUGGCGUAGUCGUGU
RNAcentral lists this ribosomal RNA (261 nucleotides) under uncultured archaeon. RNAcentral's name for it is "partial 16S ribosomal RNA". It matches the Rfam family "Archaeal small subunit ribosomal RNA", at positions 748 to 1009 of the family's 1478-position model. The record is from RNAcentral.